GAUGAACGCUGGCGGCGUGCCUAAUACAUGCAAGUCGAGCGAACAGACGAGGAGCUUGCUCCUCUGACGUUAGCGGCGGACGGGUGAGUAACACGUGGAUAACCUACCUAUAAGACUGGGAUAACUUCGGGAAACCGGAGCUAAUACCGGAUAAUAUAUUGAACCGCAUGGUUCAAUAGUGAAAGACGGUUUUGCUGUCACUUAUAGAUGGAUCCGCGCCGCAUUAGCUAGUUGGUAAGGUAACGGCUUACCAAGGCGACGAUGCGUAGCCGACCUGAGAGGGUGAUCGGCCACACUGGAACUGAGACACGGUCCAGACUCCUACGGGAGGCAGCAGUAGGGAAUCUUCCGCAAUGGGCGAAAGCCUGACGGAGCAACGCCGCGUGAGUGAUGAAGGUCUUCGGAUCGUAAAACUCUGUUAUUAGGGAAGAACAAAUGUGUAAGUAACUAUGCACGUCUUGACGGUACCUGAUCAGAAAGCCACGGCUAACUACGUG
Molecule: ribosomal RNA, 497 nt
Filed under: uncultured bacterium
Lineage: Bacteria
Description: partial 16S ribosomal RNA
Rfam family: Bacterial small subunit ribosomal RNA
Source: RNAcentral